Molecule: ribosomal RNA, 245 nt
Filed under: uncultured bacterium
Lineage: Bacteria
Description: partial 16S ribosomal RNA
Rfam family: Bacterial small subunit ribosomal RNA
Source: RNAcentral
UACGAAGGCCACAAGCGUUAUCCGGAUUUAUUGGGCGUAAAGGGCGCGUAGGCGGUUCGGUGCGUCUCUUGUUAAAUUCCGCUGCUCAACGGCGGAGCUGCAAGGGAUACGGCCGGACUCGAGAGUGUUAGAGGCAGAUGGAACUCAUGGUGUAGGGGUGAAAUCCGUUGAUAUCAUGGGGAACACCGAAGGCGAAGGCAAUCUGCUGGGACAUUUCUGACGCUGAGGCGCGAAAGCGUGGGGAG